RNAcentral lists this ribosomal RNA (440 nucleotides) under uncultured bacterium. Its description in RNAcentral is "bacterial SSU rRNA". It matches the Rfam family "Bacterial small subunit ribosomal RNA", at positions 339 to 794 of the family's 1533-position model. The record is from RNAcentral.
GUACGGGAGGCAGCAGUGGGGAAUAUUGCACAAUGGGCGAAAGCCUGAUGCAGCAACGCCGCGUGAGCGAUGAAGGCCUUCGGGUUGUAAAGCUCUGUCUUUGCUGACGAAUAAAUGACGGUAAGCAAGGAGGAAGCCACGGCUAACUACGUGCCAGCAGCCGCGGUAAUACGUAGGUGGCAAGCGUUGUCCGGAAUUACUGGGCGUAAAGAAUGCGUAGGCGGUCUUUUAAGUGGGAUGUGAAAUCCCUGGGCUCAACCCAGGAACUGCAUUCCAAACUGGAAGACUAGAGUGUGGGAGAGGAAAAUGGUAUUCCCAGUGUAGCGGUGAAAUGCGUAGAGAUUGGGAGGAACACCAGUAGCGAAGGCGAUUUUCUGGAACAUAACUGACGCUGAGGCAUGAAAGCGUGGGGAGCAAACAGGCUUAGAUACCCUGGUAGA